UAAUCUGUAUGUGAUAGAUCAUCACCUAGUUAUGACAAAUCCACACCUAACCUGUUAUCUCAAGCUCGACGACGUAAAAAAAAAAUGGAGUUUGGCCUUAAGGGAGUAGGGAUAAUAAUCUUAAGGAUUAACUAGUCUUGUUAGAAU
This is a non-coding RNA of Populus trichocarpa (black cottonwood), 147 nucleotides long. Lineage: Eukaryota; Viridiplantae; Streptophyta; Magnoliopsida; Malpighiales; Salicaceae. The record is from Rfam.